AGAGUUUGAUCCUGGCUCAGAACGAACGCUGGCGGCGUGCCUAAUACAUGCAAGUCGAACGAGAAAGCCCGGCUUCGGUUGGGCGAGUAAAGUGGCGAACGGGUGAGUAACACGUGGAUAAUCUACCCUUAAAUCUGGGAUAAUUCUCCGAAAGGAGUUCUAAUACCGGAUGACACCAUAGAAGGGCAUCUUUUUAUGGUCAAAGGCGGGGCAACCUGCUGUUUAGGGAUGAGUCCGCGCUCCAUUAGCUUGUUGGCGGGGUAACGGCCCACCAAGGCUCCGAUGGAUAGCCGGCCUGAGAGGGCGAACGGCCACACUGGGACUGAGAUACGGCCCAGACUCCUACGGGAGGCAGCAGUAGGGAAUAUUGCGCAAUGGACGAAAGUCUGACGCAGCAACGCCGCGUGGGUGAUGAAGCUUUUUGGAGUGUAAAACCCUGUCAGUGGGGAAGAAAAGUACGGGUAGUAACUGCCCCGUGCCUGACGGUACCCGCAGAGGAAGUCCCGGCUAACUCCGUGCCAGCAGCCGUGGUAAUACGGGGGGGACAAGCGUUGUUCGGAUUUACUGGGCGUAAAGGGCGCGUAGGCGGACCUUCAAGUCGGGUGUGAAAACUGGCGGCUCAACCACCAGCCUGCACUCGAUACUGUUGGUCUUGAGUACAUGAGAGGAAAGCGGAAUUCCAGGUGUAGCGGUGAAAUGCGUAGAUAUCUGGAAGAACACCAGUAGCGAAGGCGGCUUUCUGGCGUGAUACUGACGCUGAAGCGCGAAGGCUAGGGGAGCAAACAGGAUUAGAUACCCUGGUAGUCC
Molecule: ribosomal RNA, 807 nt
Filed under: uncultured bacterium
Lineage: Bacteria
Description: bacterial SSU rRNA
Rfam family: Bacterial small subunit ribosomal RNA
Source: RNAcentral